GCAUAUCAAUAAGCGGAGGAAAAGAAACUAACAAGGAUUCCCCUAGUAGCGGCGAGCGAAGCGGGAAGAGCUCAAAUUUAUAAUCUGGCACCUUCGGUGUCCGAGUUGUAAUCUCUAGAAAUGUUUUCCGCGUUGGACCGCACACAAGUCUGUUGGAAUACAGCGGCAUAGUGGUGAGACCCCCGUAUAUGGUGCGGACGCCCAGCGCUUUGUGAUACAUUUUCGAAGAGUCGAGUUGUUUGGGAAUGCAGCUCAAAUUGGGUGGUAAAUUCCAUCUAAAGCUAAAUAUUGGCGAGAGACCGAUAGCGAACAAGUACCGUGAGGGAAAGAUGAAAAGCACUUUGGAAAGAGAGUUAACAGUACGUGAAAUUGUUGGAAGGGAAACGCUUGAAGUCAGACUUGCUUGCCGAGCAAUCGGUUUGCAGGCCAGCAUCAGUUUUCCGGGAUGGAUAAUGGUAGAGAGAAGGUAGCAGUUUCGGCUGUGUUAUAGCUCUCUGCUGGAUACAUCUUGGGGGACUGAGGAACGCAGUGUGCCUUUGGCGGGGGUUUCGACCUCUCACACU
RNAcentral lists this ribosomal RNA (563 nucleotides) under Rhodotorula mucilaginosa. RNAcentral's name for it is "eukaryotic LSU rRNA". It matches the Rfam family "Eukaryotic large subunit ribosomal RNA", at positions 38 to 616 of the family's 3401-position model. The record is from RNAcentral. Lineage: Eukaryota; Fungi; Basidiomycota; Microbotryomycetes; Sporidiobolales; Sporidiobolaceae.